Avibacterium paragallinarum JF4211 is the source of this 73-nucleotide non-coding RNA. The record is from Rfam. NCBI's taxonomy places the organism in Bacteria, Pseudomonadati, Pseudomonadota, Gammaproteobacteria, Pasteurellales, Pasteurellaceae.
GCCCCCAUAGCUCAGCGGUCAGAGCAGACGACUCAUAAUCGUUUGGUCGCUGGUUCAAUCCCAGCUGGGGGCA